AUUGAAACACUGAUUCUCAUGUGAUCACCAAAGUUAAGCAACAUUGAGUCUGGUACCUAGAUGGGUGACCACUUGAGAAUACCCGGUGCUGUU
Molecule: non-coding RNA, 93 nt
Organism: Acanthosepion pharaonis
Lineage: Eukaryota; Metazoa; Mollusca; Cephalopoda; Sepiida; Sepiidae
Source: the annotation of a GenBank genome assembly